RNAcentral lists this ribosomal RNA (425 nucleotides) under uncultured bacterium. Its description in RNAcentral is "partial 16S ribosomal RNA". It matches the Rfam family "Bacterial small subunit ribosomal RNA", at positions 354 to 796 of the family's 1533-position model. The record is from RNAcentral.
GUGGGGAAUCUUGCGCAAUGGGCGAAAGCCUGACGCAGCCAUGCCGCGUGAAUGAUGAAGGUCUUAGGAUUGUAAAAUUCUUUCACCGGGGACGAUAAUGACGGUACCCGGAGAAGAAGCUCCGGCUAACUUCGUGCCAGCAGCCGCGGUAAUACGAAGGGGGCUAGCGUUGCUCGGAAUUACUGGGCGUAAAGGGCGCGUAGGCGGACAGCUUAGUCAGAGGUGAAAGCCCAGGGCUCAACCUUGGAAUUGCCUUUGAUACUGGCUGUGUUGAGUUUGGGAGAGGUGAGUGGAACUCCGAGUGUAGAGGUGAAAUUCGUAGAUAUUCGGAAGAACACCAGUGGCGAAGGCGACUCACUGGCCCAAUACUGACGCUGAGGCGCGAAAGCGUGGGGAGCAAACAGGAUUAGAUACCCCUGUAGUCC